Molecule: ribosomal RNA, 635 nt
Filed under: uncultured Actinomycetes bacterium
Lineage: Bacteria; Bacillati; Actinomycetota; Actinomycetes
Description: bacterial SSU rRNA
Rfam family: Bacterial small subunit ribosomal RNA
Source: RNAcentral
CGCCUGGGGAGUACGGGUGAGGUAACGGCUCACCAAGGCAUCGACGGGUAGCUGGUCUGAGAGGACGAUCAGCCACACUGGGACUGAGACACGGCCCAGACUCCUACGGGAGGCAGCAGUAGGGAAUCUUGCGCAAUGGGCGAAAGCCUGACGCAGCAACGCCGCGUGGGGGAUGAAUGCCUUCGGGUUGUAAACCCCUUUCAGCAGGGACGAAAAUGACGGUACCUGCAGAAGAAGCUCCGGCCAACUACGUGCCAGCAGCCGCGGUAAUACGUAGGGAGCGAGCGUUGUCCGGAAUUAUUGGGCGUAAAGAGCUCGUAGGCGGUUCAGUAAGUCGGGUGUGAAAACUCAAGGCUCAACCUUGAGACGCCACUCGAUACUGCUGUGACUUGAGUCCGGUAGAGGAGUGUGGAAUUCCUGGUGUAGCGGUGAAAUGCGCAGAUAUCAGGAGGAACACCAGCGGCGAAGGCGGCACUCUGGGCCGGUACUGACGCUGAGGAGCGAAAGCAUGGGGAGCAAACAGGAUUAGAUACCCUGGUAGUCCACGCCGUAAACGGUGGGAACUAGAUGUGGGGUCCGUUCCACGGAUUCCGUGUCGCAGCUAACGCAUUAAGUUCCCCGCCUGGGGAGUACGG